GUGCAGCAGUCGAGAAUACUUUACAAUGUGCGAAAGCACGAUAAGGGAACUCUGAGUACCUCCUAAGAAGGCUGUUCAGGUGUCUAAAAGCACCUGAAGGAAGGGCUGGGUAAGACCGGUGCCAGCCGCCGCGGUAACACCGGCAGCCCAAGUGGUAGCCACGUUUAUUGGGUCUAAAGCGUCCGUAGCCGGCUGGGUAGGUUCCUUGGGAAAUUUGGCUGCUUAACAGUCAAGCUUUCAGGGAAUACUGCUCGGCUUGGGACCGGGAGAGGUCAGAGGUACUCCAGGGGUA
RNAcentral lists this ribosomal RNA (292 nucleotides) under uncultured microorganism. RNAcentral's name for it is "partial 16S ribosomal RNA". It matches the Rfam family "Archaeal small subunit ribosomal RNA", at positions 330 to 628 of the family's 1478-position model. The record is from RNAcentral.